AUUGAACGCUGGCGGCAGGCUUAACACAUGCAAGUCGAGCGGGGUGAUGGUGCUUGCACUAUCACUUAGCGGCGGACGGGUGAGUAAUGCUUAGGAAUCUGCCUAUUAGUGGGGGACAACAUCUCGAAAGGGAUGCUAAUACCGCAUACGUCCUACGGGAGAAAGCAGGGGAUCACUUGUGACCUUGCGCUAAUAGAUGCGCCUAAGUCGGAUUAGCUAGUUGGUGGGGUAAAGGCCUACCAAGGCGACGAUGGGGAGCCGGCCUGGGAGGGUGUACGGCCACACUGGCACUGAGACACGGGCCAGACUCCUACGGGAGGCAGCAGUGGGGAAUUUUGCGCAAUGGGGGAAACCCUGACGCAGCAACGCCGCGUGAGUGAUGAAGGCCUUCGGGUUGUAAAGCUCUUUUAGUGGGGAAGAAGCCCGCCCUGGCUAAUAUCCAGGGAGGAUGACGGUACCCACAGAAAAAGUUCCGGCUAACUACGUGCCAGCAGCCGCCGUAA
Molecule: ribosomal RNA, 503 nt
Filed under: uncultured bacterium
Lineage: Bacteria
Description: partial 16S ribosomal RNA
Rfam family: Bacterial small subunit ribosomal RNA
Source: RNAcentral